ACUUUAGUAUUUUAUAAAAAAUAUCUAAUUUGUAAUUAGAAGAAACUUUGGUCUAAAGUA
RNAcentral lists this transfer RNA (60 nucleotides) under Docophoroides brevis. Its description in RNAcentral is "tRNA-Thr". Lineage: Eukaryota; Metazoa; Arthropoda; Insecta; Psocodea; Philopteridae. The record is from RNAcentral.